AGAAUGAACGUUGGCGGCGUGGAUUAGGCAUGCAAGUCGAACGGACCAGCAAUGGUUAGUGGCGAAAGGGAGAGGAAUACGUAGGUAUCUACCUCCGGGUCGGGGAUAGCCACGGGAAACUGUGGGUAAUACCCGAUAAUGUCUCCGGACCAAAGGUGUGACUCCACCUGGAGAGGAGCCUGCGUCCUAUUAGCUUGUUGGCGGGUAAUGGCCCACAAGGCUACGAUGGGUACGGGUGUGAGAGCAUCGCCCCCGCUUUUUUCACUGGGACUGAGACACUCGCCCAGACACCGUACGGGUGGCGUGCAGUCGAGAAUCUUCCGCAAGUGGGCGCAAGCCUGACGGAGCGACGCCGCGUGUGGAG
RNAcentral lists this ribosomal RNA (364 nucleotides) under uncultured soil bacterium. Its description in RNAcentral is "bacterial SSU rRNA". It matches the Rfam family "Bacterial small subunit ribosomal RNA", at positions 26 to 408 of the family's 1533-position model. The record is from RNAcentral.